RNAcentral lists this small nuclear RNA (115 nucleotides) under Podiceps cristatus (great crested grebe). RNAcentral describes it as "U2 spliceosomal RNA". It matches the Rfam family "U2 spliceosomal RNA". From Rfam's summary of the family: U2 is a small nuclear RNA (snRNA) component of the spliceosome (involved in pre-mRNA splicing). Complementary binding between U2 snRNA (in an area lying towards the 5' end but 3' to hairpin I) and the branchpoint sequence (BPS) of the intron results the bulging out of an unpaired adenosine, on the BPS, which initiates a nucleophilic attack at the intronic 5' splice site, thus starting the first of two transesterification reactions that mediate splicing. Lineage: Eukaryota; Metazoa; Chordata; Aves; Podicipediformes; Podicipedidae. The record is from Rfam by way of RNAcentral.
AUCGCUUCUUGGCCUUUUGGCUUAGAUGAAGUGUAGUAUCAGUUGAAGUCUUGACAUGUCCUCUCUUUGGGGACUCCAUCCUGCCCUGGCAGCAGGCUGGGCUCAGUGACCUCCU